This 207-nucleotide ribosomal RNA is filed under the name uncultured bacterium. RNAcentral describes it as "partial 16S ribosomal RNA". It matches the Rfam family "Bacterial small subunit ribosomal RNA", at positions 568 to 774 of the family's 1533-position model. The record is from RNAcentral.
UGCGCAGGCGGGGAAGUAAGUCAUCGGUGAAAUCUCACGGCUUAACCGUGAAACUGCCGCUGAUACUGCUUCUCUUGAGUUCGGGAGAGGGUGGUGGAAUUCCUGGUGUAGCGGUGAAAUGCGUAGAUAUCAGGAAGAACACCAGUGGCGAAGGCGGCCACCUGGCCCGACACUGACGCUCAUGCACGAAAGCGUGGGGAUCAAACA